UCGACUCAAUCCGUCUACUAAGCCUACUACUUAACGCAUUCCUUUUGCGCGGUAUGUUGGUGGACGGAAAUCAGAACUGAUUCAGCCAUCGAGAUUCAGAAACCCGCGCAAAUGCGCGGGUUUUUUU
RNAcentral lists this small RNA (127 nucleotides) under Yersinia ruckeri. RNAcentral describes it as "Leucine operon leader". It matches the Rfam family "Leucine operon leader", at positions 17 to 148 of the family's 148-position model. Rfam says of the family: At least 6 amino acid operons are known to be regulated by attenuation. The record is from RNAcentral. Lineage: Bacteria; Pseudomonadati; Pseudomonadota; Gammaproteobacteria; Enterobacterales; Yersiniaceae.